GAUGAACGCUGGCGGCGUGCCUAAUACAUGCAAGUCGAGCGAACAGACGAGGAGCUUGCUCCUCUGACGUUAGCGGCGGACGGGUGAGUAACACGUGGAUAACCUGCCUAUAAGACUGGGAUAACUUCGGGAAACCGGAGCUAAUACCGGAUAAUAUAUUGAACCGCAUGGUUCAAUAGUGAAAGACGGUUUUGCUGUCACUUAUAGAUGGAUCCGCGCCGCAUUAGCUAGUUGGUAAGGUAACGGCUUACCAAGGCGACGAUGCGUAGCCGACCUGAGAGGGUGAUCGGCCACACUGGAACUGAGACACGGUCCAGACUCCUACGGGAGGCAGCAGUAGGGAAUCUUCCGCAAUGGGCGAAAGCCUGACGGAGCAACGCCGCGUGAGUGAUGAAGGUCUUCGGAUCGUAAAACUCUGUUAUUAGGGAAGAACAAAUGUGUAAGUAACUAUGCACGUCUUGACGGUACCUAAUCAGAAAGCCACGGCUAACUACGUG
RNAcentral lists this ribosomal RNA (497 nucleotides) under uncultured bacterium. RNAcentral's name for it is "partial 16S ribosomal RNA". It matches the Rfam family "Bacterial small subunit ribosomal RNA", at positions 28 to 507 of the family's 1533-position model. The record is from RNAcentral.